CAGCAGCCGCGGGAAUACGAAGGGGGCUAGCGUUGCUCGGAAUGACUGGGCGUAAAGGGCGCGUAGGCGGUUGGUACAGUCGGAUGUGAAAUUCCUGGGCUUAACCUGGGGGCUGCAUUCGAUACGUGCUGGCUUGAGUGUGGAAGAGGGUUGUGGAAUUCCCAGUGUAGAGGUGAAAUUCGUAGAUAUUCGGAAGAACACCAGUGGCGAAGGCGACUGACUGGACAAGUAUUGACGCUGAGGUGCGAAAGCGUGGGGAGCAAACAGGAUUAGAUACCCCGGUAGUCCCUGUCUCUUAUAC
RNAcentral lists this ribosomal RNA (301 nucleotides) under uncultured bacterium. RNAcentral describes it as "partial 16S ribosomal RNA". It matches the Rfam family "Bacterial small subunit ribosomal RNA", at positions 509 to 807 of the family's 1533-position model. The record is from RNAcentral.